Molecule: transfer RNA, 67 nt
Filed under: Chicoreus asianus
Lineage: Eukaryota; Metazoa; Mollusca; Gastropoda; Neogastropoda; Muricidae
Also listed under: 1 other name
Description: tRNA-Glu
Source: RNAcentral
AUUUCUAUGGUGUAAAAAGCACGUUAGUUUUUCAUUCUAAAGGAAUAAUGUAAGUUUAUUAGAAAUA